Molecule: ribosomal RNA, 497 nt
Filed under: uncultured bacterium
Lineage: Bacteria
Description: partial 16S ribosomal RNA
Rfam family: Bacterial small subunit ribosomal RNA
Source: RNAcentral
GAUGAACGCUGGCGGCGUGCCUAAUACAUGCAAGUCGAGCGAACGGACGAGAAGCUUGCUUCUCUUAUGUUAGCGGCGGACGGGUGAGUAACACGUGGAUAACCUACCUAUAAGACUGGGAUAAUUUCGGGAAACCGGAGCUAAUACCGGAUAAUAUUUUGAACCGCAUGGUUCAAAAGUGAAAGACGGUCUUGCUGUCACUUAUAGAUGGAUCCGCGCUGCAUUAGCUAGUUGGUAAGGUAACGGCUUACCAAGGCAACGUUGCAUAGCCGACCUGAGAGGGUGAUCGGCCACACUGGAACUGAGCACCGGUCCAGACUCCAACGGGAGGCAGCAGUAGGGAAUCUUCGGCAAUGGGCGAAAGCCUGCCGGAGCAACGCCGCGUGAGUGAUGAAGGUCUUCGGAUCGUAAAACUCUGUUAUUAGGGAAGAACAUAUGUGUAAGUAACUGUGCACAAAUUGACGGUACCUAAUCAGAAAGCCACGGCUAACUACGUG